UACGUAGGGUGCAAGCGUUAAUCGGAAUUACUGGGCGUAAAGCGCACGUAGGCGGUUGGUUAAGUCAGAUGUGAAAGCCCCGGGCUCAACCUGGGAAUUGCAUUUGAAACUGGCCAACUAGAGUACGUGAGAGGGGGGUAGAAUUCCAAGUGUAGCGGUGAAAUGCGUAGAGAUUUGGAGGAAUACCAGUGGCGAAGGCGGCCCCCUGGCACGAUACUGACGCUCAGGUGCGAAAGCGUGGGGAGCAAACAGG
Molecule: ribosomal RNA, 253 nt
Filed under: uncultured bacterium
Lineage: Bacteria
Description: partial 16S ribosomal RNA
Rfam family: Bacterial small subunit ribosomal RNA
Source: RNAcentral